Molecule: ribosomal RNA, 354 nt
Filed under: uncultured Gammaproteobacteria bacterium
Lineage: Bacteria; Pseudomonadati; Pseudomonadota; Gammaproteobacteria
Description: bacterial SSU rRNA
Rfam family: Bacterial small subunit ribosomal RNA
Source: RNAcentral
UACGGAGGGUGCGAGCGUUAAUCGGAAUUACUGGGCGUAAAGGGCGCGUAGGCGGUUCGAUAAGUCAGAUGUGAAAGCCCAGGGCUUAACCUUGGAAUUGCAUUUGAUACUGUCGAGCUUGAGUGUGGUAGAGGAAAGCGGAAUUCCGGGUGUAGCGGUGAAAUGCGUAGAUAUCCGGAGGAACAUCAGUGGCGAAGGCGGCUUUCUGGACCAACACUGACGCUGAGGCGCGAAAGCGUGGGGAGCAAACAGGAUUAGAUACCCUGGUAGUCCACGCCCUAAACGAUGAUAACUAGCCGUUGGGGGUAUUUGAAACCUUUAGUGGCGAAGCUAACGCGAUAAGUUAUCCGCCUG